CAGAGAGAGAAAAAUAAAAGAAAGCAGGGGGAAGGGAGGGAAUGUCCACCUGGAGCCUCCACCGCCAGUAGUGCCCGUCCCCAGCGCAUCCGCAGACGAUCCUCCCUUCCAGGCUCAAAACCACACCACCCCCACCCUAGAGAGAGAAACAAACAGACCAACAAUCAAACAUACUAGUACAAGUCGAGGUAGAGAGAGAAAGCUCGAGACAAGCUAAACUAGCUAGAGAGAGAUCAUGUCGGUGGCGGCGGAGGGGAAGGAGAAGGGGGUUGGUGGUGGGGGUGGUGGUGCGGGUGCGGGGGCGUGCGAGCUGUGCGGGGCGGCGGCGAGGGUGUACUGCGGGGCGGACGAGGCGACGCUGUGCUGGGGGUGCGACGCGCAGGUGCACGGGGCCAACUUCCUGGUGGCGCGGCACGCGCGGGCGCUGCUGUGCCGCGGGUGCGCGAGGCCCACGCCGUGGCGCGCCGCGGGGCCCAGGCUGGGCCCCACCGCGUCGCUCUGCGAGCGCUGCGUCCGCCGCGGCGGUGGUGGCCGUGGUGGUGGAGGAGGUGGAGGCGCUGCUGGUGGUGGAGGCCGUGGUGGUGGGGGAGACGAGGAGAUGGGCGGCGAGGGCGAUGAGGAGGAGGAGGACGAGGACGAGGAGGUGGUCGUCGAGGAGGAGGAGGACGAGGAUGAUGAAGACGAGGAGGGGGAGGGGGAGGGGGAGAACCAGGUGGUGCCGUGGGCGGAGGAGGCGGAGGCCACGCCGCCGCCCGUCGCGAGCUCCACGUCGAGCAGCAGCCGGGAGGCCGCCGCCAACGGCGCGAACGCCGCCGACCGCGUCAAGGAGGACCAGCCGUGCUCGACGUCGCAGCCGAGCUUGUGCCGGUACGCGUCCUCGGCUCACCAUGGCGGUGGUGGCCGGAGCGACGAGGCCACCUCCUCCCGGAACGGCGGUGGCGUCGGCGGCCGAUUCCUUGCCUCCCGGCAUAGGAAGAGAUCGCCCUCGGAUUUCCGCCGGUCGGGGUUGGCGCAGUCGGUGAGCGGCGUGCAGGGGAGGAAUUGCUCCAAUGCGGUCGUUGGUCGAAAUGAUGUUCUUGCAAGCAUGAUGUGAAAAUAUCAAGAUUUUUUUUAUGGACCAGUGCAAGCAUGAUGUGAAAAUAUCAAGAAGUGAGCAAGAAAGGGAAAAAAAAAGGCUUUUCCUGAGGCAACUGAAACAAUGAUGUAGAUGCUGAUGCUAACUACAUUAGAAGGUCACUUUUGGUGUAUCCAGGCAUUUGGGGGGAGAUGUGGAUCACUGCAAAGAUCAAACCUCCACCGAGCACACACAUCUUCACAUCUUUUCCGUCGACAACUUGCAGAGUCGACUUAUCACGCGGCCAUCCCAGAACUCGGUAGUAUUCAUAAUCGCGACGGCUUGCUGGAGCUUGUAUAUGUGCCCCCACUACUUUCAUGUGUUUAAAUCCCUUUUUGUCCUUUUGGAUGAGGCGUUCUGGCUAACUUAAGAAAUGAUAUAGGUUUGCAUUUGCAGUGCCAUUCUUCCAUGGUUUCACUGUCUGAAUGCUUCCAUUGUGCCCUAUGUUCAGUCUCAAACUUGUUCAGAAAUCACAAUCUUGGCUGAAAUGUGUUGAAAUCUGUAAA
RNA transcript from Oryza sativa Japonica Group (Japanese rice), 1620 nucleotides. RefSeq lists it as uncharacterized. Lineage: Eukaryota; Viridiplantae; Streptophyta; Magnoliopsida; Poales; Poaceae. The record is from RefSeq and is a predicted model, not a curated record.